GUAGACGGUUGGUGUUUGCUUCGGGUCUGGUCCUUGGCUUCUUACCUGAAGCCAGAACUCUUGCUGAGGCACAGUCCUCCUAGGUGCAGCCUGGCCGGUGCUCUGCCCAUCCUCCUACACAACCGGUUCCCAGCCUCCAUUCCGGAGUCAUUGCAAACAAUGACCUUGGGGAACCAAACCAACCACCCCGCCUCCCCCAGGCCUCUCUCACUGGACCAGAGUAGCCAUAGAUGCGGCCAGCAACCAUCCCACCACCCUGAAGAGGCAGUCUUCCCUCUGAUUGGCCAGGCCUGGUCACGUGCCCGCCUCCAGAGGCGGAGUCAGCACUCAUUGACCUGGAGAGGCGGUCCUCCGUCUGAUUGGCCAGGCCUGGUCAUGUGCCUGCCUCCAGAGGCCGAAUCCACACUACAGGACCCAAAGGGAUGGAGAGAAGCUGGGGUGCCCCUGCCGCCUGCAGGGCCAGCGGAGGCCCGGUGACCAAAACAGCAGGAGUCCGUACAACUGACACUCACUCAAUAAGGACUUCUCCUCUGAAUGAACACACAUGGGGACUCCCCGUCUGAGCAGGAAUGGGAGAGCUGCUGGAAAUAAAUGAUGUUUUUUCUUCCUUACUCAAGGAAGUCUGAGCCGGCAAACGCGGUGUGUCCUGAGAACACGUUCACAUUAACGGUGAAUUCCCAAUGAGCAGAAGUCUGGAGUAUCCAGGCCGUGUGUUUAACCUCAGCCGGGGCCCUCUGGCGCGGCAGGGCUCCAAG
This 755-nucleotide long non-coding RNA is filed under the name Mustela putorius furo (domestic ferret). RNAcentral's name for it is "lncRNA (ENSMPUG00000029251.1)". Lineage: Eukaryota; Metazoa; Chordata; Mammalia; Carnivora; Mustelidae. The record is from RNAcentral.